GCAGUUCCUCCUUAAGGUCAGAGAUUGCAGCAUCUGAGGGCCUCUUCAAAAGAAGACGUAGUUGUUGAAGGCGUUCUGGAGCAGGACCAGAAAGACCACGACCAAGCAGCCUUGAGAUCUUAGGCAGCAUCUCCCUCAGGUCCCUCUCUAUCUCCCCACACAUCCACCAACCACUGGAACACAUCUCCAAAGUUCUGCCGGGCCAGCUCAGCUUCCCCUCAGAAGAAGUUCCGCCAGAUGAAGGAGCCUUUUGAGAGGCAGCUGGCAUCGUGAUUGGACUGUACUUUGGUCUGUUCCAAUCCAGCUUCAGCUCCAGAGACGGCAGGCGGGACGAGUCAACGGAGGCCGGGUGGACGAAGGCAUGCAGCUGAGUACAAUCCAGAAAACAACAGAGGAGGAGUGCAGCGACCCAGGGCCAGAACAACCAGAGUAGCAUCGUAUGUUUCUUAGAAAACAUCAUAGUAUAGCCUUUGGUAUGAAAAAACGCCAUCAUAUACAUCGUAUAUUGUACAAAUAACAAGUCAAAGGAAAGAGACAUACAUUGGAGAAUUGUAGUAAUUGUGGGCUGACUGAUUUACUGAUUAUCAGUAUUUUAUUUUUUACUGAUUUACGGUAAUAAAUACAUUUAAAAAUGG
Amphiprion ocellaris (clown anemonefish) is the source of this 635-nucleotide long non-coding RNA. RefSeq lists it as uncharacterized. Lineage: Eukaryota; Metazoa; Chordata; Actinopteri; Pomacentridae. The record is from RefSeq and is a predicted model, not a curated record. The transcript is spliced from 2 exons.